Dendroctonus ponderosae (mountain pine beetle) is the source of this 2097-nucleotide long non-coding RNA. RefSeq lists it as uncharacterized. The record is from RefSeq and is a predicted model, not a curated record. Lineage: Eukaryota; Metazoa; Arthropoda; Insecta; Coleoptera; Curculionidae. The transcript has 2 exons.
AACGUUUUCUCUGCUCACAGCUGAUUUGCGAUGACUUUUGACAUUAAUAGCAAAUACGCUCAUAGAUAAAGACUGAUAAGAGAUAAGAUAAGAUAGAUACAGACUGAAUACGCUUGCGUGCGCCGCUCCUACAACUUAUAGAACCAUAGAGAAAGUAAAAUAAGAAAAGAAAGUAAAUUAUUUUACUUACUCUAUGUAUAGAACCGAUCAAGGUCCGAGAGCGCACCUUUAUCGGUUCUUCAAUAUAUCGAACCGCCAGCUCUUAUCGAACGUUUCAGAAACCCAUUUUUCCGACUUAUAGAGCCGUUUAGGCUAUUGGAACUAUAAAGGUCGUUUCAAAAACCGGCCAUAAGACAGCGUUGGCCGUAAACAAGGAACCAAAAAUGAAAAACCCACUUGUCUUUGCAGGCAGCGAAGCCUCCACAUCUGCGCAUUUCAAAGUCCAACGGCAAGAGGGGCUCGAAUGAGUCGCCCGAUCACGUAAAGAGGCAGCGACUCACCAGUGUGGAUUCGCAGCCUCCUCAAUUGUCGCCCUCCGAAAUGCCGUUCUGCAAUGGGCCGCUCGUUGGCGGCACCGAAAGCCUGAAGAUGCCAAAGUUGGAGGAGCAAUAUUCGCCGUCAGACCUGCUGAGGCAUCGGCCAUCGUAGAGAGACGCGGCAAUGAGUACAAUAGAGACUGAACAUGGGCCAUACUUAAGCGAGGAGGACGAGGAACAGAUGAAACGGCACUGAAGAGACGGAGGAGGAGGAUCCGUUUAUCGAGAGCGAGAGCGAGAGGCGCUCCUGCAGAAGACUGAUUUACAUUAGAAAAUUUUUAAAUAAUCUUUAGUUGGUCGGCGGAUACCCUAACAGAGGAGGGAAAUGCGUUUUUUUUUCAUCCCCCCUGAACACUAUGGAAGCGUGAACUGGGAGUGAGACACACACUUCAAAAGAAUUCACCACCAACAUCUCUUUUAGAGAUUUAGACUCGGUUAUUCCCAGCUGAAAGGUGUACUUAAUAGUUAGCAGGUCUUGAAAAAGCCCUUCCAAACUCAAAUUUGCUGUUGUGUUUCACUCCGAUGACCAGAUGGGUAUGUGGACUUGACCAGUGCGAAUCGUCCACGAACGUUAAAUGAAUUGAAAGAGUGCAGCUUGUUUGGGCAAUGGAUAUUUGGUUGCUUGCUGGUACAUAAGUCGAAAGGCACGUGAAACUGCAUCAAUUUCCUUUCGGUUUGGUGCAGUUCUUUGCUCAACCCAGUGCCUACACCGAGCAACAACGAAACUGCAGUUUGCCAACAAUCCAUCUGGUAUCGGUUCGAUCUUUGAUCGUCUUAAUGGAGAAACCUCAAUUAUUUAACGAGGGAGAGAGCUGCGACGUUCCAGAAUUUAAAGUAAAUUAUAAGACUGAAGUACUGAUUAAAAUUUAACAAAACUACCAACUAAUCGAUUUUCUAAAAGGACGUUAUAGAAGCAACGAAAGCGACUUAACGCGUAUUUGGCAGACUCUCUCGAAGCCAGGCCGAGUAUCUACCAGCAAGCGACGCGUUAUCGUUAAUUUCUAGACCGUAAGGAACAUUGUACAAUAUAUUAUAGAUAGAUUUUGUGAAAACCUGUACAGAUUUCUAUUAUUCUCAUAAAUAUUUGUUACGUACGGUAAGAUAAUUCUUAGGAAUACCUGUGAUUGUUGACAUAAGAGCCGUUCGCCGGCGUGUUCAUUGCUGUUCGGCAACAAUAAAUUCAUGGCCCAACAGCACCGAACGCGCCGCUGAAUUUUUGUUAAAUGUGUUAGAACGAGCGAAGUGUUGUUGGGUGAACGCGAUUCGAUCGGCACAGUUUUUUUCCUGUUUUGUUGAUACCUGUUACAUAAGUAAGUUCUUUUGCCCUCAUUUUCCCCCGCAUCGAGGCAUCUAAUCACCCACAGUGUGCUCUUGCCAGACCCUUCCAGUCUUAGCAGUUUGCGCGCUGUGGACACACUAACUGGGAUCUGGGAUGAUGAUAAUUGCUUUGGUUACUGAUGAUUCAUGGGCAACACGGGUCUUGCAAAAGGGUCGAUUCUAGUAGGUUAAGCGACAUUGUAUGAAUCACAUUAUUUGUUUAAUAAAUAAGUCGUUUUUAUUA